RNAcentral lists this unclassified non-coding RNA (220 nucleotides) under Hevea brasiliensis (rubber tree). Lineage: Eukaryota; Viridiplantae; Streptophyta; Magnoliopsida; Malpighiales; Euphorbiaceae. The record is from RNAcentral.
UCUCAAAUCCUUAGCACUUCUUUUUCUACUAGAUCUGAUGGUGUUGCUAGCUAAUAAACAGCUUUUUGCUUCGAAGAACGAACCAGACCGAGUAAAUAUCAAUAACAAACACAGCUAUAGAGCGAGAGAGAGAAAGAGAGAGAGUUUUAUCGAUGUCAGAAAUCAAGUAAGACAAAGCCCAAGGAAUUCACAAGAAGUCAUAGCCAAGCCAAGACAACCU